GAUGAACGCUGGCGGCGUGCCUAAUACAUGCAAGUCGAGCGAACGGACGAGAAGCUUGCUUCUCUGAUGUUAGCGGCGGACGGGUGAGUAACACGUGGAUAACCUACCUAUAAGACUGGGAUAACUUCGGGAAACCGGAGCUAAUACCGGAUAAUAUUUUGAACCGCAUGGUUCAAAAGUGAAAGACGGUCUUGCUGUCACUUAUAGAUGGAUCCGCGCUGCAUUAGCUAGUUGGUAAGGUAACGGCUUACCAAGGCAACGAUGCAUAGCCGACCUGAGAGGGUGAUCGGCCACACUGGAACUGAGACACGGUCCAGACUCCUACGGGAGGCAGCAGGAGGGAAUCUUCCGCAAUGGGCGAAAGCCUGACGGAGCAACGCCGCGUGAGUGAUGAAGGUCUUCGGAUCGUAAAACUCUGUUAUUAGGGAAGAACAUAUGUGUAAGUAACUGUGCACAUCUUGACGGGACCUAAUCAGAAAGCCACGGCUAACUACGU
This 496-nucleotide ribosomal RNA is filed under the name uncultured bacterium. RNAcentral's name for it is "partial 16S ribosomal RNA". It matches the Rfam family "Bacterial small subunit ribosomal RNA", at positions 28 to 506 of the family's 1533-position model. The record is from RNAcentral.